AGCGAACGCUGGCGGCAUGCCUAACACAUGCAAGUCGCACGGGUCGGCUUCGGCCGGUCAGUGGCGGACGGGUGAGGAACGCGUAGGGAUCUGUCCUCUGGUGGGGGAUAACCGCGGGAAACUUCGACUAAGACCGCAUGAGGCGCCGGUGUGAGCGCCGGUGUCAAAGUCGCGCAUCGCGAGGUGUGUGUGGCGGGGGGGUGGGCCUGCGUCCGAUUGGCUGGUUGGCGGGGUAGUGGCCCACCAAGGCGUCGAUCGGUCGCUGGUCGGAGAGUGUGAUCAGCUACACUGGGACUGAGACACGGCCUAGACUCCUACGGGAGGCAGCAGUGGGGAAUAUUGGACAAUGGGCGCAAGCCUGAUCCAGCAAUGCCGCGUGGGUGAAGAAGGGCUUCGGAUUGUAAAGCCCUUUCGGAGGGGACGAUGGUGACGGUACCCGCAGAAGAAGCCCCGGCUAACUUCGUG
This 465-nucleotide ribosomal RNA is filed under the name uncultured bacterium. Its description in RNAcentral is "partial 16S ribosomal RNA". It matches the Rfam family "Bacterial small subunit ribosomal RNA", at positions 28 to 507 of the family's 1533-position model. The record is from RNAcentral.